Molecule: long non-coding RNA, 4384 nt
Organism: Chelonia mydas (Green sea turtle)
Lineage: Eukaryota; Metazoa; Chordata; Testudines; Cheloniidae
Exons: 5
Source: RefSeq, a predicted model, not a curated record
ACUACAUCAUUGCCAUAAUGAACAGAAGCAUUUUGCCAGCAAUAUCCUUAAGAAUCCAAACAUAUGAAUUGCUACCAUAGAAGAAUGUGUAGGAAAGCAGUUAGCAUUUUCUCUUUACCCCGACAAUCAAUAUGAAACAAUGAUGAUGAAACCCUUUUGAAAAGAAUUUGGACUAUCACCUCUUUCCAACCAAAUAGAUCCAAAGAAACAUUUUCAGAAUAUAUUUGAGCAGGACGACAACAAGAAACUCCCAAGUGUAGUGGGAUAAUCUGUUUCUUUUUAUUCAGAAAUAUCCUUUAUUUUUGUUUCUUCCAAAGAUUUCCAUUGACUACAGGGGAUGUUGGACUCAGGCCCUACUGCACAUGUGCUUCCUGAUGGUCUCCUCUGAUGGCACCUUACCACUGAGUUCAUAACUAGGUAGCUCACUCUGAAUGGAUACCAGCAACAUUCUCGGAGGUGGAUGCUACUCCAGGAUCUCCAAUAAUCUGCAUAGAUCUCAGAAGGGGACAGAACAUGAAGCUGGUCUGUAUGGGAGCAAACCAUCUCCACUUCACUGAAAGAGUUGGGAGGAAAUUCCACAAGUUACUGACUCUUACAUGGGUUAUUUCUGUAUAAGGGGAAUCAGGAACAGACGGCCUUCCAUAGCAUGUGGAGAUGGGGGGUUUGACUGAGCAACGUUUACCCACACUGGUGAACUUUUACUCACACAAGUAGCUCCGUUGGAAACUGGAGCUUCAGUGGGGCUAUAUAGGUGGUGUUCCAGGACGUCUGCAGGUAACAGCAUGGAUCUCCUGUAGCUGCCACGACUGUUCCUUCUCCUUGCUCCUGAGCGCCUGGCCUGAACUUGGCUUGAUUUGGACGUCACCUCCUGAUUCAGAGCCUGAAACCUGACUCGGACUCUGCCCCUCAGAAUUGCCCGGUCUUGGAACCCAAUUACCAACCGCCUCGGUUACUCCCAGCCUCAGGAUUGCCCCUGCUCCAGCCCUAGGCCCUGACUGCCCUUGCUGGGACCCUGACAGUGAAUGAGUGACUUGUGUGAGACUCAGUAGGGACAACUGAAGGUUUUAAAACUAUUAGUACAGGUGCUUCUUUGGAGAGACAGAUUUAGGGACCUAAUGAGGUCAUGCUCUCAUUGGUGAAGAAGUCGGUGAAGUUGAGUCAAGGUAUUUUUUUUUGUUCUAUUUGUUUAUUUACAAAAUGUUCACAGAUCGCAAUUUCUUGAAUAGAGGUGGUGACCCAGUUGCACAGAGGCAAGUUCCCAUUGCAGAAACCUUUGCUGAAGCGCCACUACCCAGUCCCCAAGAAGCAGCUGUUUUGGGCUGUCCUGGUAUCUCACAGUUUAAUCACAUGCAACCCGUCCUUACACAUAGGAGAACCCUCAUCUAGGGCUUUUCAAGAAGAAACAUAGGGUCCUGAAAGCUGGCUUUGCCAUUAAUCCUCCUUUUUCACAGCAGCUCUGCAAUACAAAGGAACUGCUGAAAAUGCUUCACUGUCCAUCAAAGAGGUAUUUGCCCUACACAAUUCCCUUAACAACUGUCUGGAUUAGGUGAGUUUCAUUGUGAGUGUUUAUACAUCAAUGGCUAACAACAUGCAUGAUGUUAGCAUCUGCUGAAAUAAAAGUACUAAACUUAUUUCCUGAGCAUUUUAAAAUUAUCUUGCUAUGCAAUAGAAAGCAGUAAUAGUCAUAAUCCUAACAAUAUUCUAGAGCCUGCCAAGUAAAGACGUUGUCCUUGUGUUUAUAGGAUUUUAUAACAUUUUUUCUUGUGCCUGAAAUAUUAAGGGGUCUAUUGUGCCUCUGCCUAAUGUUGAAGAUACCAUGUAUCCGCACCACCCCAGGGAGUGCUAGCGCCAGGAGCUCUGCCGAGAUCCAGCUGGUGUGAAGUGUAUUGUGGUUCUUUACGCUAACAGGGUGUAGGGUACUCCCCUGCUCACAUCUGCUCAAGUCUACAACCUGGUGAAUGGUGGGGUCAGAGGAGUGUCAAGGCCACGGCUGCAUUUCCUCCUUGCCCUCUUUGGGGGUGAUGUGUACUCAAGUUCUGCAGCUGUGCCCACUGCUGCAUAGAGGCACAAGGGAGCAGGGCUCCCACAGAGCACAAGACAGAAUCUGACUGCAAAAUAACAUCGAAUCAUCGAAAUGUAGGGAUGGAAGGGACAUCGAGAGGUCAUCUAAUCCAGCCCCCUGCAUGAGCCACAUGAUGCUAGAUCCUAGUAAACCUAGAUGACCCCUUACAGGUGUUUGUCUAACCUGUUCUUAAAAACCCUCCAGUGAUGGGGAUUCUACAACCUCCUUGGUAGCCUAUUCCUGUACUUAACUAUCCUUACCAUUAGAAAAUGUUUCCUAAUAGCUAACCUAAAUCUCCCUUGCUGUAGAGUAAGCUGAUUACCUACCUUCAGCGAAGAUGGAGAACAAUCUAAUCAUCAUCCUUUUUUAUAACAGCCAUUAACAUAUUUACAGACUUAUCAGGUCUCCCCUCAGUCUUCUUCUCUCAAGACUAAACAUGCCCUUUUUUUUAAACCUUUCCUCGUAGAUAAGAUUUUCUAAACCGUUUAUAAUUUUUGCUGCUCGUCUCUGGAUUAUUUCCAAUUUGUCCACAUCUUUCUUAAUGUAUGGUGCCCAGAACUAGACACACUAGUCCAGCUGAGGCUUCACCAGUGCCAAGUAGAGUGGGAAAGUGAGCUCCCGUGUCUUGCACACAGCACACUUGUUAAUACUCCCCAGAAUGAGAUCAGCCUUUUUAGCAACUAUAUCACAUGGUUGACUCAUACUCAAUCAGCGAUCCACUCUAACCCCCUUUCUGCAGCACUACUGCCUUGCCAGUUAUUCCCCAUUUCGUAUAUGCGCAUUUGACUUUUUUCCUUCCUAAGUGGAGUAUUUUGCAUUUGUCUUUAUUGAAUUUAAUCUUGUUAUUUCAGACCAAUUCACCAGUUUGUUGAGAUGAUUUUGAAUUCUAAUUCUGUCCUCCAAAGUGCUUGCAGCCCCCUCCCAGUUGGGUGUCAUUCUCCACUCCAUAUUCAGUGUUUUAAUUAACAGUAACAUUGACUAGUACUGGACCCACGUCAUCUAUCCCGCCCCAUUGUCUCUAAAUCCCCCAGUUACAGCUUUUAGUUUGCUUUGUUCUGUGACCUCUCCCACAGUUAUUUCCACAGAGAUGAGAAGUGUCUUCUGAAAUGUCGGUUCUGUGUUUCCCAAUCCAUUAAUUUGACUAACCAGUUGAUGGUUCCCGUUUUUCCUGUAUUUUUUUUGUUUGAAAGUUCCAGAUAGACAAUAUUGUCUCUCAAUCCCACUGACAUAUCUUAUACCAAAAAUUCCCCCCUAGCCCUACACACACACACACAUUCACUCUUCUACCUUUAUAUCUAGCUUUAGUACCAUGCUUUUGCAUGUUAAAUUGUCCUAGCUAGAGGGCUAACAUUUGUAUUUCUUUAGAUUUUAGCUUAGUCUACUCUACCACAGAUAUUAAUUAAUGACAGAUUAAUAUUGAUCUGUCACAGGAAGUGAGAAACUGCAAAGACUCUCCAAAAAAUCAGAAAAAGUCUGAGAAUUGCUAACUAAAUAAUACAAUGAGAUAGCUAACAGUGUCAGAGGAGUCAUUCCUGGACUUAAAGAACGUUAAGUAACUCAAGAUGAAUUCCCAGGGACUGGGGUAUAUAGCAGAUUAUUAUUAACACUGACUGUUUGGAGUAAAGUGUAAAAUACCUUUUUAAUAUAGCCUUUCCUCAGCAAUGACUCUCAUAAAAAGUGUAAAAACCCCACACAUUCACAGGAGCCAGGGGAAAGAAAGAAAAACAGCUCUGUAGAAUUUUUUUUGUCUGCGUCAUAACUGUUGUUCUGCACUUAUAUACUAAGAUGACAGGUACCUGUAAAUACCUAUGAGAUUUUAAAUAUAUAUAAGAGAAGACCUAAACCCCUGAUUGCCAGAAGCUGGGAGUAGACAACAGUCGAUGGAUCACUUGAUGACUGCCUGUUCUGUUCAUUCCCUCUGAAGCACCUGGCGUUGUCCACUUUCGGCAGACAGAAUAUUAGGCUAGGUGGACAAUUGGUCUGACCCAAUAUGGCCAUUCUCAUGUAAGCUAUUAACAUUAAAACUGCUAUAAUUUUUUUCUACCUGUGGUAGGUGAUUUCCCUGAAAAUUAAGGUUAACAUUAAGGUAUCUUAUAAAAGCUGGUUGUUUAAAUUAAUCUUAUGUAACCUAUUCUCUGGCAUAUUUUUCCUUCUAACUAUAAUUAAGUUUAUAUUUGCCAGAUUACUCAUGCUGUGUUUAAUUGUCUAUGAAAUAGUUAUUUACUGCUCACAAUAAAAGCAACAUAGUUGGUGGUUUUGAAAUAAACUAAAUUCAACUUAUUUUUUAAAUAAAAUGUGGGGAAAAAACUUUAAUUCUUGCUU